UGCCCGCUGAUGAACUCUUAAUUCUAAUCACCUUGGAGAACAGAUUUCCCGUGGGCGAAUCGACGCGCUCGCGGGCUGCUGAUUCAUCGACUUCUGAGGGCA
RNAcentral lists this small nucleolar RNA (102 nucleotides) under Chlamydomonas reinhardtii. RNAcentral describes it as "CrCD46b snoRNA". Lineage: Eukaryota; Viridiplantae; Chlorophyta; Chlorophyceae; Chlamydomonadales; Chlamydomonadaceae. The record is from RNAcentral.